CCUACGGGUGGCAGCAGUGGGGAAUAUUGCGCAAUGGGGGGAACCCUGACGCAGCCAUGCCGCGUGAAUGAAGAAGGCCUUCGGGUUGUAAAGUUCUUUCGGUGAUGAGGAAGGUGAUAAGGUUAAUACCCUUAUUAAUUGACGUUAGUCACAGAAGAAGCACCGGCUAACUCCGUGCCAGCAGCCGCGGUAAUACGGAGGGGGCGAGCGUUAACCGGAAUAACUGGGCGUAAAGGGCACGCAGGCGGAUUUUUAAGUGAGGUGUGAAAGCCCUGGGCUUAACCUGGGAAUUGCAUUACAGACUGGGGAUCUUGAGUGCUUUAGAGGGGGGUGGAAUUCCACGUGUAGCGGUGAAAUGCGUAGAGAUGUGGAGGAACACCGAAGGCGAAGGCAGCCCCUUGGGAAUGUACUGACGCUGAUGUGCGAAAGCGUGGGGAGCAAACAGGAUUAGAUACCCUAGUAGUC
Molecule: ribosomal RNA, 465 nt
Filed under: uncultured bacterium
Lineage: Bacteria
Description: partial 16S ribosomal RNA
Rfam family: Bacterial small subunit ribosomal RNA
Source: RNAcentral